GACGAACGCUGGCGGCGUGCCUAAUACAUGCAAGUUGAGCGCUGAAGGCUGGUUCUUGUACCAACUGGCUGAGCAGCGAACGGGUGAGUAACGCGUGGGGAAUCUGCCUUUGAGCGGGGGACAACAUUUGGAACCGAAUGCUAAUACCGCAUAAAAACUUUAAACACAAGUUUUAAGUUUGAAAGAUGCAAUUGCAUCACUCAAAGAUGAUCCCGCGUUGUAUUAGCUAGUUGGUGAGGUAAAGGCUCACCAAGGCGAUGAUACAUAGCCGACCUGAGAGGGUGGUCGGCCACAGUGGGACUGAGACACGGCCCAAACCCCUGCGGGAGGCAGCAGUAGGGAAUCGUCGGCAAUGGACGAAAGUCUGACCGAGCAACGCCGCGUGAGUGAAGAAGGAUGUCGGAUCGUAAAACUCUGUUGGUAGAGAAGAACGUUGGUGAGAGUGGAAAGCUCAUCAAGUGACGGUAACUACCCAGAAAGGGACGGCUAACUACGUG
Molecule: ribosomal RNA, 497 nt
Filed under: uncultured bacterium
Lineage: Bacteria
Description: partial 16S ribosomal RNA
Rfam family: Bacterial small subunit ribosomal RNA
Source: RNAcentral